AAUUUUUAAAAAAGGAGUACAUUGGAGAAGAUUUGAAAUUAGUAAAAUAUUAGUUACAUAUAGGUGUAAAAGGUUUCUUCUGAACUUUACCAACUACUAUCAUGUUCAAGCUGGAGCUUUAAUUCAUUCGAGCGACUAUCUCCACAAUUUCUGCUGUGAAAUGUAUAAAUGAUGAUCCAAACAGAUAAUAUAAAUGAGCUGAACGAAUGGUGGUAUUUUUGCCCAUGUCGCAUGUAUGCUUUUGGAGUAUCGGUAGGUGCAGACCUACAGUAUUUUGUGUGGAGCCGUAGAAAAUGAGUAAUAAAUUACUAAAUUAACGAAAAAUUGAAAUAAUUGUCAUGAUGGGAAACAAACUUUUGAAAUUUCGAGGACUAUCAAUGGUGAUUCUGUUUCCAUAUGUUAAUAAAUAAACAACAAAAGCUGAAAAGCACUACAGGUGAGGCAUUUUUCAAAAUUUUAAUGAAACACUUGUACUGUACCAUACAUUCAUUUAUUGAAAUAUACUAUAAUUUAUUACUAUUAUAUAAUAUUUCAACUCGAUUACUACUUGUAUAUAAUGCACAUAUCAAUGGCCUGCCCUGGGGGUACACCCCCGGGACUUUGCAAAAACAUGGUUCUAAUGCAUUAAUUCCCCCUGCCCUAGAGUUCUGAUUUCUAUAAUCACAAAUAGCAAAAAAGACGACUCUGAAAAUGCUAUUUCCAAGAUCUAGAGACUCAAAAUUUUCAAAAUUUCCCUGCUCAGGGGUGGGCAUCUACAAAAAGGGACCAUACUAUAUUGAGUGUGGAGAGAUGACAGAUGGUUGUUGGUGACAAAAAGCUUGGUGUGGUAUCGUAUGUAUUAGUAGGGGGUCCGGGGAUUCUCCCCCAGAAAAUUUUUUGUAUUUUUCCACCCCUAGAACUGAAAUGUGAGCAUUUUCUGAAACAGAUUUUUGGAUAUACAGCGUUACAUUGUGCGUUGAUAGACCAAAUCUGAUCAGUUAAGUGUAUUUGCAUGGUAUGUUUAUGUAAAUACCACAACUGGGUCACUCAGGGGGUAGCAAGCUUGUUAAACUUAGUGGGCCCGACUCCCAUGAUUGCGAGGCACUACCAUGGUUGGUGCCCAGACAAGUUCUUAAAAAAAUCCUGUGUUCAAAUCAUUUUGCUGUAUGAAGAUGGGUCAUGGGUUAGGGUUAUGGUAGGACAAAUGUUGCAUUGCAAAAUAGUAACACAUAAUAUAUACUUUUAAUCACAUAUGGUUGAAUCAUAUUCACCAGGGUAAAACAUCAUGAGCUACAUUAAACAGAUUGUCCUAAUAUCUAACUUUACAUGCAAUGCACACCUGUUUCAUUGCUAUUAAUUUUUCAAUCCACACUGGGGGGUGGGGGUCAGAAAAGUUUCUACUUUUAUGAGGGGGGAGGCACAAAAAGUUUGCCUUCAGUUCUGUAGGGGGGGGGGGUCAAAAAAGUUUUCAAUCCUUAUUUUUCCCAUUUCCCAACACCCCCCUCCCCAUAAAUAAUGACCACUCCCUAAUUUCCCCGGGGUUCACAGGCAGAACACACAGAUCAAAUACCAAAUUCCCCCUCGUUUCCCCCCAGUUGUCCCGGGGGUGUACCCCCGGGCAGGCCGUUGAUAUUUGCAUAAUUCUCUUUCAAAUUGUAUAAAAAGUAUGUUGUUCCUCUUGCAUUUCUACUAUACAUAUAAUUUUAAUGUAUAAAUUUGUGAACACAGCCAUGCUUUGUUGAAACAAAACUUAUGUCGGUUUAUGCAUAUAUCAUCUAAAUAUUUACCGCUGUUUGUAUUUUUCAGAUUAUGGAAACUGCACAUUGUUGAUCAUGUCUACUCACAAUGUACUCUGUGCACAUUAUGGGGAAAGUAAAUCUGCACUAAUAAAUACCCAAAUGUAUAUGGCUCUACGUUUGUCACUGGAAUCAUUGUUAUAUUCGAUGGCAAUUCAUGGCAAUAGAAUCAUAUUGUUUGACCAGGCAAAGGAUUAGUUAAUUAUGGAUCUAGCACACCAAACAAUAAUUAUAUAUUAUUUUAUUAAACAUAUUCUUAUGUGCAUUAUUAAUUUUCAUUACAAAUUAGAUUUAUUCAACAUUUAAAAAGUUUAAUUUAAAAAUAUAUACAAUAUUAUAUUACUAUUACAGGCCAUCAAUAAGUAUUCUUGGUCUCAUACCCAUGUUUUAUUUUGUUAAUUCCAUAAGGGUAUUUUCGGGUUGUCCCAAAUUAUACAAGUGAAACACGCACAUAGCUAUCGCUUUUAAUAAAAUAGAUAUUUGAUGUCAUAUUUACUUCAAUAUAUUUUAUUGAAGCUAUGCCUGGCUAUAAUUAGCUAAUAUUUCCAGUGGUGGCACCAGCAGUGGGGACAUCCCCCCCCCCUUAAAAUAUUUUUCAAACCAAGAAUAUUUAUUAAAUAUGGCCUAAUAAAUAAAUUAAAAUUAACACUCACACAACAUUGACACAUUAUAAGUCCUACACAAAGUUACUUAAUGAAUUUAAUAUCAUGGCAAUUGUGCCAAUUAUGUUGUUCUUGAACAACUGUCUGAGUGGGUUUUUGCUCUAUUUGGGCACACAAUUUUUG
This 2560-nucleotide long non-coding RNA is filed under the name Paramuricea clavata. Lineage: Eukaryota; Metazoa; Cnidaria; Anthozoa; Malacalcyonacea; Plexauridae. The record is from RNAcentral.